GAUGAACGCUGGCGGCGUGCCUAAUACAUGCAAGUCGAGCGAACGGACGAGAAGCUUGCUUUUCUGAUGUUAGCGGCGGACGGGGUAGUAACACGUGGAUAACCUACCUAUAAGACUGGGAUAACUUCGGGAAACCGGAGCUAAGACCGGAUAAUAUUUUGAACCGCAUGGUUCAAAAGUGAAAGACGGUCUUGCUGUCACUGAUAGAUGGAUCCGCGCUGCAUUAGCUAGUUGGUAAGGUAACGGCUUACCAAGGCAACGAUGCAUAGCCGACCUGAGAGGGUGAUCGGCCACACUGGAACUGAGACACGGUCCAGACUCCUACGGGAGGCAGCAGUAGGGAAUCUUCCGCAAUGGGCGAAAGCCUGACGGAGCAACGCCGCGUGAGUGAUGAAGGUCUUCGGAUCGUAAAACUCUGUUAUUAGGGAAGAACAUAUGUGUAAGUAACUGUGCACAUCUUGACGGUACCUAAUCAGAAAGCCACGGCUAACUACGUG
RNAcentral lists this ribosomal RNA (497 nucleotides) under uncultured bacterium. RNAcentral's name for it is "partial 16S ribosomal RNA". It matches the Rfam family "Bacterial small subunit ribosomal RNA", at positions 28 to 507 of the family's 1533-position model. The record is from RNAcentral.